Molecule: ribosomal RNA, 250 nt
Filed under: uncultured bacterium
Lineage: Bacteria
Description: partial 16S ribosomal RNA
Rfam family: Bacterial small subunit ribosomal RNA
Source: RNAcentral
GGAAUAUUGCUCAAUGGGCGAAAGCCUGAAGCAGCAACGCCGCGUGUGCGAUGAAGGCCUUCGGGUCGUAAAGCACUUUUCUACGAGAUGAGAAAGGACAGUAUCGUAGGAAUAAGUCUCGGCUAACUACGUGCCAGCAGCCGCGGUAAAACGUAGGAGGCGAGCGUUAUCCGGAUUCACUGGGCGUAAAGCGCGUGCAGGCGGUUCGGUAAGUUGGGCGUGAAAUCUCUUGGCUUAACUAGGAGAGGUC